CCUACGGGUGGCAGCAGUAGGGAAUAUUGCUCAAUGGCGGAAACCCUGAAGCAGCAACGCCGCGUGGAGGAUGAAGGUUCUCGGGUUUGUAACCCCUUUUGGUCGAGGAGAUAAUGACGGUAUCUAUCGAAUAAGCACCGUCAAACUCCGGGACAGCAGCCGCGGUAAUACGGGGGGUGCCAGCGUUACUCGGAAUCAAUGGGCGUAAAGGGCGCGUAGGCGGGAUAGCAAGUCAGGUGUGAAAUCCUAGGGCUUAAACAUAGAACUGCAUUUGAAACUGUUAUCCUAGAGUACGGGAGAGGUAGGUGGAAUGCGUGGUGUAGGGGUAAAAUCCGUAGAUAUCAAGAAGAACACUCAUUGCGAAGGCGGCCUACUAGAGCGUAACUGACGCUGAUGCGCGAAAGCGUGGGUAUCGAACAGGAUUAGAUACCCCAGUAGUC
Molecule: ribosomal RNA, 440 nt
Filed under: uncultured bacterium
Lineage: Bacteria
Description: partial 16S ribosomal RNA
Rfam family: Bacterial small subunit ribosomal RNA
Source: RNAcentral